UGGAUAUGCCACAAACCAAGUCAAUGUCUGCAAUUGCAGGUUCUUAUGGCUACAUUGCUCCAGGUAAUUAAAAUUUUACUCCAUGAAAAUGUUGCAAACAUUAAGCUUUUGUGUGCUUUUGGCUAAUGAGCCAUGAUCAUUUAAACCGCAGAAUAUGCAUACACAAUGAAAGUGACCGAAAAAUGCGACAUCUAUAGCUACGGAGUUGUCCUAUUGGAGUUACUAACAGGCAGAACACCAGUUCAACCACUAGAUCAAGGCGGUGACCUCGUAACAUGGGUGAGACAUUACAUCCGAGAUCACUCGCUAUCACCUGGAAUGCUCGAUUCUCGGUUGAAUCAACGAGAUGAGAGAACCGUCUGUCAUAUGUUAACAGUCAUGAAAAUUGCUUUAAUAUGCACAAGCAUGUCACCUUCUGAUAGACCAACCAUGCGGGAAGUCGUUCUGAUGCUUAUCGAGUCGAACCAACGCGGAAGCCGGUUCGAUAUCUCCUCGAGUCAUGACACUGACCGAAUCGAAUGAAAUCUAUAUUCUAGUAUGCAAAUAAUUUUGAUUAAACCAUGAUCAUUUUUUUUACAAAAUUUACACAGUGAAAAAAUAUAUGCUAAUUUGUCAACUUUCAUAUAAUAAUUAAUAAUAUAUGGUUGCAACAUGUUCUUGAUAAUAUUAGUUUGAUUUAAUCACAAAUUUAAUUGCUUUACAUAAUAAUUAACUCACUUGUAAAAAUAGAGAAAUCCUUGUGAUUUUAAUGGAAUAUUUUUUCGGUAAAAGUAUUAUAGAGGUCCCUAUAUUAGAAACUGGAUUGCAUUUUGCCCCACCACUCAAAUGUACAGGGAAAAACGCAUUUUUUCGGUAGAGGGACUAAUUUACAGGGACUAAUCUAAUGUAUAGAGAUUAAUUUACCCAUUUUUCGGUAGAGGGAAAAAAAGGCAAUCUCACCCUUAAAAUAAAAUAAAAGUUUGACUAUAAGUAAAAUUUUCUAUAUGGUCAGAUUAUUACUCUAUUUAUUUUAUUAAAUCUAAUCUAAUCUAAUCUAAUGUAAUCUAAUCUAAUCUUAAUCUAUUCCAUAUAUAGAAAGAGUUCCUUUUUCACUAAAACUGUUUUAUAUCACAUUUAUAAUUAAAACUCGCCGCCCAAUCUCCAUUAACACACAAAAUUAAAGCUUUCAUCUUUCUUAUUUCUUCUUCAAAGUUCAACCAUGUUUACAUUGAACCUAAACAAAAAGGUAAAUUUUAUUGUCUGACAAAUUUUUUCUCUCUUACUUCAUGCACAAGAAACCAAUAUUCUUUUGAGUUUUUUUUUUUUCAUUUUUUUAUAGGUGGAGAAGGAGAAAAAGGAAAUCGAGCACAAAAACAAAAUGCCUCAGUUAGAUUCAACCCAAAAAAUAAGGAGAAUACAAGACCCAAAUUUCGUUAAAAAAAAUUAUAUUUUACAAAUGCACAUCCAUUAUGCAGAAGAGAUUGACCCAUCGAGCGUGUACUCGGAAGUUCAUUGGAGGAAUUAUCGAGUGGUGUUUUGGGUUAACCCUUCAGAUCAGUACGAGACUGGUGCAAGUAGAGGGUAUCCGAUAUUUAUAUGGGAACAACUAUUUAAUAUCCCAUUGAUCAAUGUUGUUAUAUCGGAACAUAAGUUUUUGAGUCUGGAAGUUAUGCGGAUCGGCGGGAAUCCAGGGCCGUCAAGAGGCUACAUCGUGGUGGGGAGAGCAAAGGUAGCUUUGCCGAAAGUGCUGGGGAUUAAAGAGUGCCAACGAGUUGGAUUGGUGAGGUUUGUUGAUGGGCAAACCGUGGGUGAAGGGCAUAUAAUAAUUUCUCUGACUUUGAUACAGGUAAAUUUCCAUUGGCGUGAUAUGUUAUUUCAUUAGAGAGAAUUCAACAACUCGGGAUUAAUUACUGUUAGUGAUGAGGGAAUUAAUUAUUGUUGUUAAUGAUGAUACUUUAGUUUUGAGAAAAAGUCACCUUUUAUGUUUCUGUUUUAAAAUAUUAUAUAAAAAAAAUUAUUUAUCUACAAAUAGAUUAUUUGUAUGCUAACUCAAUGUUGGUUCAAAAUUUGCAUAAUGAUGAAUCAAGAAAAGAAAAUAUUAGCUUAUUUAGUCAAUAAGUUCUCGAUACGGUUAGCAAAGGUCAAGUUCUUGGUUUGGGGUUGAGUUCCUUUCUGAAUUAAUCCCCACUCUUGAAGUAAUUUUUAUAAAAUAAUUAUUCCACACAUGUAGGUAAUUUUAAAAUUUUCAUAAAUUUAAAUUAAAUUAAAUUAUAAAAUAUUGUAUUUUCACCUAGCCUUAAAAUUGCACCGCAAACAUUCAUCGAAUCUAACGGCAAAAUGUUGAGGGCGGUGGCGACAAUCCUAAUAUGCACUUAGAAUUAAAUGGUCACUAUCUCCAUCUUUAUUAAAAUCCACGGCCUUGCUCAUUUUCGCGAGCAAUCCUCCAAUAUUAAGUGAACUUUCUAGAAAGUAAGAUGAAGCUCGGAGAAGCAAAGCAUGAUUGACUCGGGAAGAACUAAAAACCUAGAUUGUGAGCAAUCCUCACCCCACAUACACCAGCAACCAUCAAACCACCAAUCGAAAAAAGCAAAUAAAAACAAAAAAGCCUCUAUAAUGGAUGAAGGAUGGAAAAAAAUCAAGCAAAAGACAUAGAGUUAGAUGCAAAGCAAAAAUUAGAGAAAGAACAAAAAAGGAAAAAAAGCAUAGAGAGAAAAACUUGUCUUUUAGAGCUUAUUGGUUAUUUGGGCAUCGAAGCUCCGUUCAAUAAUCUGAAUGGUGAAGGUAGAGAAGGGGUUGAAGAGAACAACAUAUCUCGAGGUCGCGAUGAUCCAUCUGUGGACGUCGGUGGAUUGAAGUUUCCAGCUUAGAACUUUGGCUUGAGGUUUUGUAGGUUUUGGUUGCUUUUUAGGAAAAUCUAAACCGAAAGAUAGAUCGAGGGUGUGAAGACUUAUCAUUGGAUAGUGAUUUUGU
RNAcentral lists this long non-coding RNA (2949 nucleotides) under Gossypium barbadense (sea-island cotton). RNAcentral describes it as "long non-coding RNA (GBAR_LNC018886)". The record is from RNAcentral. Lineage: Eukaryota; Viridiplantae; Streptophyta; Magnoliopsida; Malvales; Malvaceae.